GCGGCCAUAGUCUAGGGGUUAUGAUUCGAGCCUUCCAAGCUCGUGACCCGGGUUCGAAUCCCGGUGGCCGCACCA
This 75-nucleotide transfer RNA is filed under the name Candidatus Thorarchaeota archaeon SMTZ-45. Its description in RNAcentral is "tRNA-Gly". It matches the Rfam family "tRNA". Rfam says of the family: Transfer RNA (tRNA) molecules are approximately 80 nucleotides in length. Their secondary structure includes four short double-helical elements and three loops (D, anti-codon, and T loops). The record is from RNAcentral. RNAcentral also lists the same sequence under 6 other names. Lineage: Archaea; Promethearchaeati; Candidatus Thorarchaeota.